RNAcentral lists this ribosomal RNA (314 nucleotides) under Odontobdella blanchardi. Its description in RNAcentral is "eukaryotic LSU rRNA". It matches the Rfam family "Eukaryotic large subunit ribosomal RNA", at positions 664 to 944 of the family's 3401-position model. Lineage: Eukaryota; Metazoa; Annelida; Clitellata; Hirudinida; Salifidae. The record is from RNAcentral.
GACCAAGGAGUCUAACACGUGCGCGAGUCGCAGGGCCGUACGAAACCCGAAGGCGUAAUAAAAGUGAAGGUCGGCUUCGCGCCGACUCAGGUGGGAUCCCGGGGCGAGAGAUCGCGACGGGCGCACCACCGGCCCGUCUCGGCCGCGGCGUCGGCGAGGCGGAGCCAGAGCGUACUUGUUGGGACCCGAAAGAUGGUGAACUAUGCCUGAGUAGGACGAAGCCAGAGGAAACUCUGGUGGAGGUCCGCAGCGAUUCUGACGUGCAAAUCGAUCGUCAAACUUGGGUAUAGGGGCGAAAGACUAAUCGAACCAUC